CCUCUCCUUUUUAUCCUUUUUUUGUUCCCGGUCCAAAAUUCGUUAUAUUUGGCAUCCGCCCUAUUGACCCCCUAACUAUUUAUCCUAUCCUUUCCAAAUUUGUUAUCUUUAU
RNAcentral lists this transfer RNA (112 nucleotides) under Sinadoxa corydalifolia. Its description in RNAcentral is "partial tRNA-Leu". The record is from RNAcentral. Lineage: Eukaryota; Viridiplantae; Streptophyta; Magnoliopsida; Dipsacales; Adoxaceae.